Small nucleolar RNA from Capsicum annuum, 107 nucleotides. NCBI's taxonomy places the organism in Eukaryota, Viridiplantae, Streptophyta, Magnoliopsida, Solanales, Solanaceae. The record is from RefSeq and is a predicted model, not a curated record.
UGCUGAAGAUGUGGACAGACCUAAAGAAAAUCUUUGAACCUCUCCCAUUCAUGAUAUAAGUUCUCAUCUAUCUUUUAUUUGAAGCAUAUAAUCUUACUGUUCAAUCU